AUUGAACGCUGGCGGCAGGCCUAACACAUGCAAGUCGAGCGAGCGUCGGACGGGUGAGUAAUGUAUGGGGACUGCCCGAUAGAGGGGGAUAACUACUGGAAACGGUAGCUAAUACCGCAUACUAUCGGAUAACCCAUAUGGGUGUAGCUAGUAGGUGAGGGAAUGGCUCACCUAGGCGACGAUCCCUAGCUGGUUUGUGAGGACGACCAGCCACAACGGGACUGAGACACGGUCCAGACUCCUACGGAGGCAGCAGUGGGGAAUUUUGGACAAUGGGGGAAACCCUGAUCCAGCCAUCCCGCGUGUAUGAUGAAGGCCGUCGGGUUGUAAAGUACUUUUGGCAGAGAAGCGGUAUCUGCAGAAUAAGCACCGGCUAACUACGUGCCAGCAGCCGCGGUAAUUC
This 403-nucleotide ribosomal RNA is filed under the name uncultured bacterium. RNAcentral's name for it is "partial 16S ribosomal RNA". It matches the Rfam family "Bacterial small subunit ribosomal RNA", at positions 30 to 526 of the family's 1533-position model. The record is from RNAcentral.